UAGACAGAAACUUAUUGGUUGAAGUGCUUAGCUGUUAACUAGGUAUUUGUGGGAUCGAGGCCCACCUGUUUA
RNAcentral lists this transfer RNA (72 nucleotides) under Caiman crocodilus (spectacled caiman). Its description in RNAcentral is "transfer RNA-Asn". The record is from RNAcentral. Lineage: Eukaryota; Metazoa; Chordata; Crocodylia; Alligatoridae.